Molecule: RNA transcript, 2269 nt
Organism: Rhododendron vialii
Lineage: Eukaryota; Viridiplantae; Streptophyta; Magnoliopsida; Ericales; Ericaceae
Gene name: probable protein S-acyltransferase 1
Exons: 6
Source: RefSeq, a predicted model, not a curated record
CACAAAUACAACGAAGGGGGAGAGAGAUAUCUAGGAACAAUUCCUCCUUUCUGGAACGAAUUAAGGAGAGAGAGAGAGAGAGAGAGAGAGAGAGAGAGAGGAACAAUUCCUCCUUUCUGGGUUAAUCCGUCUGCAUAAAACGAGAGAGAGAGAGAGAGAGAGAGAGAGAGAGUGAGAGAGAGAGCUUUGGGUUUGGUUUUGAUUUUGAUUUCCAAGAGAGGAGCCAAAACCCACCAACAUUCUCAUUCAGUCUACAAAUUCCAUAGGACCUAUAUUUGUAUAGCUUUAGAUUAGUCAAAGGAUAAUAACAAUUGGUUUAGGUUUUUUAUUCGAUUUUUUUUUUUGUCCCAUGGUUACACAAAAACCCAGAGAAGAAGAAGGAGGGAGUUAUGAUUGGAGAUAGCAAUAUUCCAGAUUUUGGGGGUCCAUCUUCUUCUACCAACAAAGGUAUGGCCCAAAUCAAACUGGAAUCAAAGAGGGUCUAUCAAGCCUGGAAGGGCAAUAACAAAUUUCUAUGCGGGGGAAGAUUGAUCUUUGGUCCUGAUGCGGAGUCCCUGUUUUUAACCACAUUCCUAAUUGCUGGCCCUGCAAUAGCUUUUUGCACAAAAAUCUACUGCAAUGUCAAUAAAGGCAAAGAUGACAGUUGGGGGUAUGUUGUAAUGGUUGUGGGAUCUAUCCUCACUAUUUUGGAUUUAACAUUUCUCUUCUUGACAUCCAGUAGAGACCCUGGAAUAGUGCCUAGAAACUCAAGGCCUCCUGAAUCAGAUGAAGGAUAUGGCGUAGGUACCCCUUCUAUUAGAAACUCAAGGCCUCCUGAAUCAGAUGAAGCAUAUAGCUUGGGUACCCCUUCGAUGGAAUGGGUCAAUGGUACAACCCCUCAUUUAAAAGGACCCCGAAUGAAGGAUGUAAUUGUCAAUGGUCAUGCAGUUAAAGUGAAGUACUGCGACACUUGCUUGCUUUAUCGUCCUCCUCGUGUUUCUCAUUGUGCCACAUGCAACAACUGUAUUCAGAGAUUCGACCAUCACUGUCCAUGGGUCGGUCAGUGCAUUGGAAGACGCAACUAUCGGUUCUUCUACAUGUUCAUAUUAACAUCAACCAUCUUGUGUGUGUAUGUCUUCGUGUUUUCGUGGAUAAACAUUAUCCGGCAUGAAGCCAGUGUUAUGGAGGCUUUGUCGGAAGAUAUCUUAUCAGAUUUUCUAAUAAUGUACUGCUUCAUUGCUGUUUGGUUCGUGGGCGGCCUUACAGUUUUCCAUCUUUAUCUAACUUGCAAAAACCAGACGACUUAUGAGAACUUCCGUUAUCGAUAUGACAAGAAGGAGAACCCAUAUAACAAGGGGAUUCUAGACAACCUCAGAGAAACCUUUUUCUCUAAGAUUCCACCUUCAUUGAUUGACUUCAGAGCGUUAGUGCAAGAAUGCGAAAACGUGGGGAUAGAGCUCAGGAACCCAAACCUUGAGGGAAGUCAUAGUAGCUUGAAGGACAAGAUUGAUACUGAAAUGGAAACUAAGCUUGCUGAGAUGAGUGGCUUUUCACUUCCUGAAAUUUUGCGGAAUUUGGAUUACAAUGACGUAGAGGACAAUCACAAUGUUAGAAGUAGAGAGGGAAAUGGAAGGCUAGAUUCUGACCUAUUUUUCCUUAAUAUAGAUAUAGAAGAAGAACCAAUAGACUUUAUUCAGAGCUCCAAUGCGGAAGAUGAGGCUCAUGGGAAAACUAGCAAAGGGAGCUCAAUUAUUCAAAAUGAGGUUCAUCGAAUAUAGAGGUAUUAUUAUUGUUCAGUUGUAAAAGUUAUACCAGCAUGGCUGUACAUAUUUGGGUUGGUUUGGUUUGGGCAUCUCUUUUAGGAAUGGUAUACCGUGUUGUGGUAUGUGAAGGAUCUCUUCUUUGUACUUGGCGGUGUGUAAAGCUCUAUCAGCUCUCAAAUGGAAGAUGAAUGCAUGCAAAGUAAUUUCUCGAAGAAAACUUAUGUUCAUGUAUUUAAGACUCGUGCUGCUUGUACAUAGCCGUCUCGUGUUCAACAAAAGUGAGCAAUCUUGUUAGGGUGAUUAACUGAUUAUGCUGUGUAACUCUUUUUUUUCUUUUCUCGACGGGUUCUUCCCCCAACUUUUGCUUUCACUUCUUCUUCUUCUUCUUCUUUUCCUGUUUCUAUAGAAAAUGUAGGAUAAUGUAGAGACUGAUGGUUCUUUGAAGGAUAUAUUAGAUGAAAUCAUGUGUUGAUUACCAUGUUUUUCUCUUUACUCUUUAGUGGAAAAUUGUGAAAAUAUUGCGAUGA